Molecule: transfer RNA, 76 nt
Filed under: Burkholderiales bacterium
Lineage: Bacteria; Pseudomonadati; Pseudomonadota; Betaproteobacteria; Burkholderiales
Also listed under: 3 other names
Description: tRNA-Thr
Rfam family: tRNA
About the family: Transfer RNA (tRNA) molecules are approximately 80 nucleotides in length. Their secondary structure includes four short double-helical elements and three loops (D, anti-codon, and T loops).
Source: RNAcentral
GCCGGGAUAGCUCAGUUGGUAGAGCAGCGCAUUCGUAAUGCGCGGGUCGUAGGUUCGAGUCCUAUUCCCGGCACCA